RNAcentral lists this ribosomal RNA (490 nucleotides) under uncultured bacterium. RNAcentral describes it as "partial 16S ribosomal RNA". It matches the Rfam family "Bacterial small subunit ribosomal RNA", at positions 30 to 507 of the family's 1533-position model. The record is from RNAcentral.
AUUGAACGCUGGCGGCAGGCCUAACACAUGCAAGUCGAACGGUAACAGGGAGAAGCGUGCUUCUUUGCUUACGAGAGGGGUACGGAUUAGUAAGGACUGUGACACUGCGUGAGGGAGGACGUUGAGUACUGUAAACUGUAGCCAAUACCGCAUUACGUCGCAAGACGAGAGAGCGGAAGCUCUCGGGCUCUUGCCAUCGCAGGUGCCGAGAUAGGAUUAGCUAGUAGGGGGGGUAAAGGCCUACCAAGGCGACGAUCCGUAGCUGGUCUGAGAGGAUGACCAGCCACACUGGAACUGAGACACGGUCCAGACUCCUACGGGAGGCAGCAGUGGGGAAUAUUGGACAAUGGGCGCAAGCCUGAUCCAGCAAUGCCGCGUGUAUGAAGAAGGCCUUCGGGUUGUAAAGCACUUUUGGCGGGGAGGAAGGGAGUAAAGCUAAUAUCUUUGCUUAUUGACGUUACCCGAAGAAGAAGCACCGGCUAACUACGUG